AUCAGCUGAAAAUCACCCAUAUCUCUGGCCAUGGAGUUGGGUGAAGUUCAGUGCCCAGAAUCAGUAUGGCCUCAGCUCACUACCUACUCUUCAGUCUGGGGAGGUGAAAGCUAGGCCCUACCAUGC
Molecule: small nucleolar RNA, 126 nt
Organism: Sorex fumeus (smoky shrew)
Lineage: Eukaryota; Metazoa; Chordata; Mammalia; Eulipotyphla; Soricidae
Product: small nucleolar RNA ACA64
Exons: 1
Source: RefSeq, a predicted model, not a curated record